RNAcentral lists this ribosomal RNA (500 nucleotides) under uncultured bacterium. RNAcentral describes it as "partial 16S ribosomal RNA". It matches the Rfam family "Bacterial small subunit ribosomal RNA", at positions 28 to 507 of the family's 1533-position model. The record is from RNAcentral.
GACGAACGCUGGCGGCGUGCUUAACACAUGCAAGUCGAACGGGCCUGUCUUCUUUUUUGGGGGGUGGGUUGAGUGGCGAACGGGUGAGUAUCACGUGAGUAACCUGCCCUUCGGUCCUGGAUAACCGCUUGAAAGGGCGGCUAAUACGGGGUGGUCCGGUUGGUCCGCAUGGGCUGGUCGGGAUAGAUUCACUGUUUUUGGUGUUUCGGCGGGGGAUGGGCUCGCGGCCUAUCAGCUUGUUGGUGGGGUGAUGGCCUACCAAGGCGGUGACGGGUAGCCGGCCUGAGAGGGUGGGCGGCCACACUGGGACUGAGAUACGGCCCAGACUCCUGCGGGAGGCAGCAGUGGGGGGUAUUGCACAAUGGGCGGAAGCCUGAUGCAGCGACGUCGCGUGGGGGAUGGAGGCCUUCGGGUUGUGAACCUCUGUUUCCGGUGGUGAAGGCCCUGUCCGUGUGGUGGGGUUGACGGUAGCCGGGGAUGAAGCGCCGGCUAACUACGUG